UAUUUAGGAAGGCACUAUUCAUAAUUAUUAUAUUAUGAAGUGCAUCUUCCUGAAUAGA
This 58-nucleotide microRNA precursor is filed under the name Pteropus alecto (black flying fox). The record is from RNAcentral. Lineage: Eukaryota; Metazoa; Chordata; Mammalia; Chiroptera; Pteropodidae.